UCAGCCACAGCUCAAAGUCCAGGAGGAGGUGCAUUAGAAAACAGGUGAUCAACAAGUAAUGAGCAGCCAGGUGAAUAUUUAACAGCCAAGCCCUACUCUACAAGUUCAGUGACAUAACUGCCAUGUAAUCUUCAGUCCAGGGAAUCUGUUUGAACCGUGCGAACACCCUCGGCUGAAACUGGCGUUUCCUUUUACUUCAUCAUGUACCGACAGUGUGACACCUAAGUCAGAAUGGAGCAUCUACAGAAUGUGAAAAUUCUGAUUAAAGUCAUGGCUAUUGUUCUGCACUGUGGAGGUUCCUCGGCUGACACAACAAGAAGGCUGAGUGUCUUGGUGGGCACAGACGUGACUCUGGGCUGCCUGUUUGAUAAACUGUCCAAGCUGGUGGAGUGGAGCGCUCUCACCGUUGAGUGGAACAUGGUGGACCAACGUGCAGAAAAGAGCAUUGUGUACACUGUGGAGGAUGGUAGAGCGUAUGUGAGCAGAGAUGGCUUUGUGGUGGAUAAAAAGCGGUUGCUAGAAGGCGAUGCAUCUUUGCAGCUUCGCAAUGUGACUGUGGGAGAUGAAGGCCUGUACACCUGCAGGAUCAUCACACCUGUAGUCUACACAGAGACCACUGCACUGGAAGUGCUGGCUCGGCCUUCAGUGAUGCUCCCAGAAAAGGCAGCAGUGAUAGAGGGGGAGGAGAGGACGAUACAGUGCGACAUUGCAGGUUUUUAUCCAGAGAAACUGACCAUGACAUGGUACAUCCAAAAUGGCUCCCGCACUGUCCACGCUGGUGGAAGCCACCUCUCCCGUGUUUGCACUGAAAUGGCCAUCCACAACCCAGACGGCACCUACAGUAUUCGCAGUGGCAUCACACUGCACUCAUCAGCAGUGAAAGACAGAGAGAUACAACUCAUCUGCCAGGUGGAGCACCAGACCUACAGUCGGACUUACAACAGAUCUGUUACACUGACCGUUCAAGCUCCACCACGGCCCCUUUACAGUGCUGUUACACUGAUAGCUGUCACCAGUGUCAUCAGUUUGUUGCUGGUUACCUCUGUUAUUGGAGGCACUUUACUUCUCUACAGGUAUUUCUGUAGAGCUCUUCCAAGUGUUUCUGAUAUCAGCCAACCCAGCAUCAUAUACGCUCAGGUGCCGUUCAACCUCAAAUGCUCCAUCCAAGGGGCAAGACAGCGAGAGCUCAAAGUGAAGUGGUUUAGAUUAAACGGCAGUGUGGACCCAGUGGUCCAGUCAGAAUCCGUUGCUCUGUUGGGCAACAAGGAUCUAAGCGAACACGCUUGUCUCCAGUCAGACGGCAGACACCACACAUCUGUCCUGACUGUGUGUCUGACAGUCACUGAAGACCGGACCAAAUACCAGUGUGUAGUACUGUGCAGGGGCAAGAGCUUCAGCAAAGAGACCACAGUCCAGGUAAAAGUGGAGCCGUCUUUCCUCCAGAUCUCCAGCAUCCCUCAGAUCCCCAAGGUGGAGAAGAUGCUGGUUCUAUGCUGUCGGGUGGAGAACUUCUACCCCCAGGACGUGGACAUGGAGUGGUCCAGGAACGACGGGGAGCAGGUCCGCAAAGUCACACACUUUGGACCUUUCUCCGAUCACAACCGCCUCUACAGCGUGUGGAGUAAGAUCCAGCUGGUCAUGGCGAGAGAGGAUGAGAGGGCCAUCUACACCUGCCGUGUUUACCACUCCAGCUUCUCUGCUCCGGGCUACAAAGAUGUCCUGUACCACAUCAACACUCAAGGAACUCCUCCUACUGUGAUGUUCAUCGACUGUGACCCGCCGUGUCCCCUGUUGAACCAAGAGUGUACACUGCACCUGUGUAUCAAAGACUUCUGUCCUGAGGACGUGUCAGUCAUUUGGACUAAAGACGGAGAGAUGGUUUGCUCCGGCGUCUUCAACACUCCCCCAAGCCUGAACAUCAACGGUCUCUACUCCAUGUUCAGUUUCCUCAAACUCACUCCCAACAAGGAUGACCAGAGCUCCAAGUUCAGCUGCCAGGUAGUCCACAGCGCCCAGAGGGAUCCUGAGGAGAGGUUCUUCACACUGCCUAACCUGCACCUGACAGAUGUCCUCUGAUGUCCUCACGGUGUAAACUGAUCAGUCCACAGUAGUUUCAUCUGUAACAGCGGGAAUGCAGAACAGUAGAGGUAAAGCUACAAUAUGUAUAUAUACAAUAUAUAAACACAGAUUAUGAAUUAUUUUUCAUAAUCUGAGCAUGGUGGGCAGAGUGACACCAUCAAGUUCCCGUUUUGGCCCUGCAAGGGAAAACGUUUUUUACGUGUGUUCUUCCAUUAUCCCAAAUGUUUCCAACAAUGUUCAAACUCUGUAAUUUUAUUCAGGUAACACUGCGUUUCACUGGUUGCCUGUCAAUGGCGUCAUAUGGGGCGGCUGUGGCACAGAGGCAGAGUCGGGUCGUCCCCUAAUAGGAUGGUUGUUGGUUCGAUCCCCAGCUCCUGGUGCCACAUGUCAAAGUAUCCUUGAGCAAGAUACUGAACCUCGAAUUGCUCCCGAUGCCAUGCAUCGGUGUGUGAAUGUGUAUGAAUGAGUUAGUUAAUGUUUGAUGGGCUGGACAUUUCUUACAACUUAUUUUAUGCAUUGAAAAAACAUCCUUUACAAUGGGCCACCACUGAGUGAAUGUUUGUGAAAGGGCGAAUGUGCCAUGUAGUGUAGAAGCACUUUGAAUGGUCGGAUGAAUAGAAAGGCACUAUACAAGUACAGGUCCAUUUACCAUUUAAUCACAAUCACAUAUAUCAAUCUUUGCUUGGAAAAGCCCCCAAAAGAAGAUAUUUGAACUCACAAACAGUAUUGUGGCACAUUAGUAAAGCAGUGAUUCAAGGAUUCAUGGAUAUUUACAACCUUACAAGGACAGGUCCAUUUACCAUUUCCCUUUUGUGCAUGCGUCAGCCACAACGGUUGUCUGCCAGAAGCUGUCAUACAGUGUCUUUUUAUCCAGUUUGAAGCAACAUUUUUACCAUCCAAUGUUUAGAUCGUGAUGCUUUUUACCUCUAGAUUUGAACCGGAUGAAGGAUUUUAGUUAUUGGACGUCUGAAUCUUAAGUUAUCAGAGAAACAAGCUGAGCGCACGUUAGCAGCAGCUCGGCUCGCAGUCCCUCCUGGACGUCCUUUGUCUGCCCAACAGCGUGGGAGAAGCAGUGAUUUUGAAGGCGGAACUGCUUUAUUCAGCGGGUGCGUUUUGUCCACAUAUUUCGGAUGUUGUCAGCCAGAAACUCUGCUCUUUAGGCCCUACAGAGAUUUGUCUGCUGUCUCUUUUGUUUCUGACUAAACAUAGAACCCCUUAGUUACCUGCAUAUGGGCAGAUUUUAGUGUUGGUCUGGAUAAAAACAAUCAGAACUGAGAAAGAUAGAAAGAUACUUUGGGUUGGUGGCUUGAAGAUAGUUGAUUGCUGAGUUCCAAAGUGUCUGUAUUUGACAACCUGGGAAUGAGACUCAACAAUCAACUAUCUUCCUUGGCUCUGAUUGGUUGUUUUCAUUCAGGCCUGGUGGAUUAUUGCAGAUACCAUUAGGAGCUCUAGGAGGAGCCAGAGGAACCUGAUUUUUUCACAGAUUGUCUGUCUCAUGUACUACUGUCAGGAUUAACAACUAAAAAACUACCUGGCCGACUCUGGCUCCUGAAAGUUUGUUAUUCUGUAAUGCCUCACUGCACAGAGAAACACACAGCCAGAUGGUUAGAAGUUACCACAAACAUACACCGAUCAGCCAUAACAUUGAGAACACCUGGGCACCCUGGUGGUCAUAAUGUUCUGCAGCUCCAUACCAACAAACUGUGAUGCACUGUGUGUUCUGACACCUUUCUAACAGAACCAGCAUUAACUGUUUCAGCAGUUUGAGCUACAGUAGCUCGUCUGUUGGAUCGGACAACAUGGGCCAGCCUUCACUCCCCACGUGCAUCAGUGAGCCUUGGCCAGACCCUGUCUCUGGUUCAUUGCUUUUCCUUCCUUGGACCACUUUUGAUACUUUUGGUACUGACCGCUGCAGACCGGAAACACUAUAUGUCUAUCCUGGAGUCAGGAUUACAUGAGAGGCCCAAACCAGAACAAAUGGGGUUUCAGUUGGUUGCAAUCUGCUAUCUCACCACUAGAUGCCACUAAAUCCUACACACUGGCCCUUUAAAAUCCUAUUCAUGUCUUUUUAUACUGUGUUGUGUUUUUUUAUAUCUUGUCCUAAUGCCAGUAUACAGUGUGUCUUAUGUAAAGCUCUUAGAAUGGUCUUGUUGUUGAAAAGUGCCAUACAAAUAAACUUGCCCUGCUCCAAAUACUCACUACUGUAUCAAAUAUGGAUUAAUCCGCAGCUGAAAAUAGGCCUCAACAAAUGCACUGUUUCUACCUGCUUGUAUGAUGUUUGCAAGAAUGUGCACAACUGUUUCAGGUAAUUACUACCACACUAUACAUUUGUGACGUCUUUAAAGAUUCACAUCAUUCAUUCAGUAAGGAACCAGUGGGCUUGGGACCACAGACCACGGACCACAGACAGGGUAGGAAUCCAGAAGGUAUUUAGAGACAGACAUAGAGGGUUUUGGUCUUUUAAUGAUAUUUGUUUCCUGUAAGAACACUAUAGAUAGAAUAAAGUAAAUUAUGUAUUUUCUUGUGGAGAAAUGAAGAAAUAAACAAUGAUACAACA
Dicentrarchus labrax (European seabass) is the source of this 4636-nucleotide non-coding RNA. Lineage: Eukaryota; Metazoa; Chordata; Actinopteri; Moronidae. The record is from the annotation of a RefSeq genome assembly.